GACCAUGUUUUCAUUUUGCACUCGAUCUUUCAAAUAAUGCUGCCAGCCCUGAUCUUUAAUAACAUAUUUGAAUGUGCUACUCAGUCUGCAGCUGAUUAAUCUUAUAUUUUUAGUGGUCACAAUAUAUUGAUUACAAGAGCAAUUGCUACACUAAUUUUGCUGCCUGUGCCAGAAUGUUAAUAAGGAAACUCAAGGUCUGUGUUGGUAUUAUAACCAGGUGGGCCCUCCAGAUAAAGCCUUUUGGGGAAAUAUUCAUGAGUCCUAAAAUGUGGAACACACAAGUGUCAAUAAUGCUAUGCAAUGACGCAGAAAUCAGCAACAAAAGAAAGAAUAUUCAGAAAAGGUUGAGAGGAAAUAUUUACCUGGUAAGAGGGUAGAUAAAAGAAGAAGAAAAUCAAGACCAAGGCAAGGACAAAUUCAGAGUUGUGGAGCCAUGGCCAAGCAGUCAGCGAUUUGGACUACUGGUGCAAACUUGAUAAGCAAAGUGAAAGAGAGAUGAGCUCAAAGAUGGGGACGUCAUAGUCUAGGAUGGGACAAUUCAGGAGCUGUACAAGCACCUUGUAGUUCCUACGUGCUCCCUUGGACCAAUCAACUUCAGCAGUACUAUAACAGCCAAAACACUACCAAAAAUAAUAACAAUA
This is a long non-coding RNA of Mustela erminea (ermine), 641 nucleotides long. RefSeq lists it as uncharacterized. The record is from RefSeq and is a predicted model, not a curated record. The transcript has 4 exons. Lineage: Eukaryota; Metazoa; Chordata; Mammalia; Carnivora; Mustelidae.